CGCCUGGGGAGUACGGCCGCAAGGUUAAAACUCAAAUGAAUUGACGGGGGCCCGCACAAGCGGUGGAGCAUGUGGUUUAAUUCGAUGCAACGCGAAGAACCUUACCUGGUCUUGACAUCCACAGAACUUUCCAGAGAUGGAUUGGUGCCUUCGGGAACUGUGAGACAGGUGCUGCAUGGCUGUCGUCAGCUCGUGUUGUGAAAUGUUGGGUUAAGUCCCGCAACGAGCGCAACCCUUAUCCUUUGUUGCCAGCGGUCCGGCCGGGAACUCAAAGGAGACUGCCAGUGAUAAACUGGAGGAAGGUGGGGAUGACGUCAAGUCAUCAUGGCCCUUACGACCAGGGCUACACACGUGCUACAAUGGCGCAUACAAAGAGAAGCGACCUCGCGAGAGCAAGCGGACCUCAUAAAGUGCGUCGUAGUCCGGAUUGGAGUCUGCAACUCGACUCCAUGAAGUCGGAAUCGCUAGUAAUCGUGGAUCAGAAUGCCACGGUGAAUACGUUCCCGGGCCUUGUACACACCGCCCGUCACACCAUGGGAGUGGGUUGCAAAAGAAGUAGGUAGCUUAACCUUCGGGAGGGCGCUUACCACUUUGUGAUUCAUGACUGGGGUGAAGUCGUAACAAGGUAACCGUAGGGGAACCUGCGGUUGGAUCACCUCCUUA
Molecule: ribosomal RNA, 663 nt
Filed under: Escherichia coli
Lineage: Bacteria; Pseudomonadati; Pseudomonadota; Gammaproteobacteria; Enterobacterales; Enterobacteriaceae
Description: bacterial SSU rRNA
Rfam family: Bacterial small subunit ribosomal RNA
Source: RNAcentral